GCAAACUUGGUCAUUUAGAGGAAGUAAAAGUCGUAACAAGGUCUCCGUUGGUGAACCAGCGGAGGGAUCAUUACAGGACUCGCAAGACUCCCGUAACCAUCGUGAACCUACCUGCAGUCGUUGCCUCGGCGGGUGCCUAGUCCCUAGGCGCUCAAGCCCGCCGGCGGCCUGUUAACUCUGUCUCGUUGCGUUGGCAUCUCCGAGCAAAAGACAAACGAAUCAAAACUUUCAACAACGGAUCUCUUGGUUCUGGCAUCGAUGAAGAACGCAGC
RNAcentral lists this unclassified non-coding RNA (272 nucleotides) under uncultured fungus. RNAcentral describes it as "partial contains small subunit ribosomal RNA, internal transcribed spacer 1, and 5.8S ribosomal RNA". The stretch from base 1 to 73 matches the Rfam family "Eukaryotic small subunit ribosomal RNA", at positions 1759 to 1831 of the family's 1831-position model. The record is from RNAcentral. Lineage: Eukaryota; Fungi.